CAAUAGCGUAUAUUAAAGUUGUUGCAGUUAAAAGCUCGUAGUUGGAUUUCUGGUUGUUACAUCCGGUCCGCUUCGAAAGGAGUGUGUACUGUGAGGUGUGAUGGCCAUCCUCGGGGUGCUGUAUAUCUCACAUUCAGUUGUGGGGUGUAUGGUCCUCGUCAUUUACUGUGAGUAAACUAGAGUGUUCAAAGCAGGCUUAGGCCGUUGAAUACAUUAGCAUGGAAUAAUAAGAUAGGACCUUGGUCUAUUUUGUUGGUUUAUUUUCCAAGGUAAUGAUUAAUAGGGAUAGUUGGGGGUAUUCGUAUUCAAUUGUCAGAGGUGAAAUUCUUGGAUUUAUGGAAGACGAACUACUGCGAAAGCAUUUACCAAGGAUGUUUUCAUUAAUCAAGAACGAAAGUUAGGGGAUCGAAGACGAUUAGAUACCGU
This 426-nucleotide ribosomal RNA is filed under the name uncultured eukaryote. RNAcentral describes it as "bacterial SSU rRNA". It matches the Rfam family "Eukaryotic small subunit ribosomal RNA", at positions 592 to 1018 of the family's 1831-position model. The record is from RNAcentral.